CCUACGGGCGACUGCAGUGAGGAAUAUUGGUCAAUGGACGAGAGUCUGAACCAGCCAAGUAGCGUGAAGGAUGACUGCCCUAUGGGUUGUAAACUUCUUUUAUAUGGGAAUAAAAUGUUCCACGUGUGGGAUUUUGUAUGUACCAUAUGAAUAAGGAUCGGCUAACUCCGUGCCAGCAGCCGCGGUAAUACGGAGGAUCCGAGCGUUAUCCGGAUUUAUUGGGUUUAAAGGGAGCGUAGGUGGAUUGUUAAGUCAGUUGUGAAAGUUUGCGGCUCAACCGUAAAAUGGCAGUUGAAACUGGCAGUCUUGAGUACAGGAGAGGUGGGCGGAAUUCGUGGUGUAGCGGUGAAAUGCUUAGAUAUCACGAAGAACUCCGAUUGCGAAGGCAGUUCACUGGACUGCAACUGACACUGAGGCUCGAAAGUGUGGGUAUCAAACAGGAUUAGAUACCCGAGUAGUC
This 460-nucleotide ribosomal RNA is filed under the name uncultured bacterium. RNAcentral describes it as "partial 16S ribosomal RNA". It matches the Rfam family "Bacterial small subunit ribosomal RNA", at positions 338 to 795 of the family's 1533-position model. The record is from RNAcentral.